RNAcentral lists this long non-coding RNA (643 nucleotides) under Anas platyrhynchos platyrhynchos (common mallard). RNAcentral's name for it is "lncRNA (ENSAPLG00000019834.1)". Lineage: Eukaryota; Metazoa; Chordata; Aves; Anseriformes; Anatidae. The record is from RNAcentral.
AACCAACUCCUUCUGAGAAGAAAUUUCUCCUAAUUUCUAACCUAAUACUUAAUGAGGAUUAUCUUACAGAGGGCCUGCCCCAAGGCUAAGAAUUUAAGUUCCCAUGUGGGUGUGAUGAUUGAAAUAGGUUUCAAAGUACUGAACACAAUCUAACUGAACUAUGUCUUUCCACCAAAACAUGCAUUCAGCUAAUUCCUGCCCCUAUUACUUAAUAGCUGUGAGUUCUCUCCAAGUAAAUUUGUCCACUGACUCUAUUCAAACUGCAAGUGAAAGGCCAUAGUAGAGUAGCUAACACUUAAGGUUUACAUUCAGUACUAGGACGAGUUUCACUGAAGGAGUCUGUAUUCCAACUGCUUUGGCUACAGAUAGAAUUUACCUUAUUUUAAUGCUAACAAAAUACCACUGCUUUGAAGUUACUCAAAGGAUUUACAACUGCUUGCCCCUGUAAUACCGCUAUUCAAAGUAAUAGCAAAAAGUCCUCCAAAGUCAAUAUACAAUUGCUAUGACUCUGGUAAUCUCUAUAUUCCACCAUGUUUUCUCGUGCAUCAGAAGUUACAGUGCAAGAGGUGAAACGGCUCCCCAAAAAGGAGAGACAGAGAGAGAGAAUUAUUCUACAGAAUUUAAACAGCGAAAAAACAGAUAG